GUGCCAGCAGCCGCGGUAAUACGGAGGGUGCAAGCGUUAAUCGGAAUUACUGGGCGUAAAGCGCACGCAGGCGGUUUGUUAAGUCAGAUGUGAAAUCCCCGGGCUCAACCUGGGAACUGCAUCUGAUACUGGCAAGCUUGAGUCUCGUAGAGGGGGGUAGAAUUCCAGGUGUAGCGGUGAAAUGCGUAGAGAUCUGGAGGAAUACCGGUGGCGAAGGCGGCCCCCUGGACGAAGACUGACGCUCAGGUGCGAAAGCGUGGGGAGCAAACAGGAUUAGAAACCCCGGUAGUCC
This 292-nucleotide ribosomal RNA is filed under the name uncultured bacterium. Its description in RNAcentral is "partial 16S ribosomal RNA". It matches the Rfam family "Bacterial small subunit ribosomal RNA", at positions 505 to 796 of the family's 1533-position model. The record is from RNAcentral.